CAGAGGUCCCAAGCGUUGUUCGGAUUCACUGGGCGUAAAGGGUGCGUAGGUGGUUGGGUAAGUCUGAUGUGAAAUCUCCGGGCUCAACCCGGAAAUGGCAUUGGAUACUACUCGACUCGAGGAUUGGAGGGGGGACUGGAAUACUUGGUGUAGCAGUGAAAUGCGUAGAUAUCAAGUGGAACACCAGUGGCGAAGGCGAGUCCCUGGACAACUCCUGACACUGAGGCACGAAAGCUAGGGGAGCAAACAGGAUUAGAUACCCUGGUAGUCCUAGCUGUAAACGGUGCACGUUUGCUGUAAAAGGAAUCGACCCUUUUGUGGCGAAGCUAACGCGUUAAACGUGCCGCCUGGGAAGUACGGUCGCAAGAUUA
RNAcentral lists this ribosomal RNA (371 nucleotides) under uncultured organism. RNAcentral's name for it is "bacterial SSU rRNA". It matches the Rfam family "Bacterial small subunit ribosomal RNA", at positions 526 to 896 of the family's 1533-position model. The record is from RNAcentral.